RNAcentral lists this unclassified non-coding RNA (962 nucleotides) under Hevea brasiliensis (rubber tree). Lineage: Eukaryota; Viridiplantae; Streptophyta; Magnoliopsida; Malpighiales; Euphorbiaceae. The record is from RNAcentral.
GUUGCCUUUCGCCUUGAUAACACUAUUGAAAGUAUGAAAAGAACAGUUGUGGCAAUCGUUGCAGACGAGAAAAUGAUGGUGCAGUACGUGGGUGGUGGUUGGAAUUGAAGUAUUGGCGGUGGUAUUAGUGGCAGUUGUUAUAGUUCUUGUAGAAGUUGCGGCAAUAUGAUGGCAGCCAUGGUGCAGCGGCAAUGGACUGGCUCUGGUAGUGAGGGGGUGGAAGUGGCUUACUGUUGGUGGCAGUGGUGAUGAUGGUGGUACGGUAGUGGAUGCAUAUACUGAAAAAGUGGAUGUCAUUGAAAAUAUUUAAAGCAAUUUUAAAAGCUUAACUAAUUGAGACAAUUUGGAAACUCAGAAAAGUAAAUUAUUUCAAAUCAUUCAACUAGCUUUGUGAUUAUUACUGAAAAUUUCCUAUGUACAAUAUUGAAAUUACAGUAGACUCUUCUUCCGUCGCUCUGUUGUUUAAUAUGAGCAACUCUUAGUCACCAAAACCAAAUUCCCCUCCACUCCCUUAACUGAAAAACAAUAAAAGGGAGAGAAUUGAAGAGCCAAAAACAAAGAGAGAAUAAAAAAGACAAAGGAUAGUUUUUAGUUUUCAAAAAUAGAAAUAAGAUCUUUGAACCCCUUUGGGAAAGUACGUGGAGUUAGAGGCAGCAGUGGCCGCUGCAGCAGCAGUAGCAGCACUAGUGGUAGCAGAAGAAGUAGGUGUUCUAGGAGAAGCAGCAAUAGAAUUGCUUGGGCUAACAUCUCUCUCCUCUUCAUUAAUUGUAUCCAACAUCUUUGAUGCUCUAUGCCUUAUGACAGUAACGUAUUGUGGAGGUGCAACCUCUAUAAUGAACUUUGCAAUGCGUGAAUUGGCCAUUGUUUUCAAGUACUUGGUAGGCUCAAGAGCUUAGAAAGAGAAAAAAAGAUGAAAGAUAAGAACCCAGGAAGAACACGGUUUGUAGGGAAAAGGCUUGGUU